This 389-nucleotide ribosomal RNA is filed under the name uncultured bacterium. Its description in RNAcentral is "bacterial SSU rRNA". It matches the Rfam family "Bacterial small subunit ribosomal RNA", at positions 29 to 417 of the family's 1533-position model. The record is from RNAcentral.
AUUGAACGCUGGCGGAAUGCUUUACACAUGCAAGUCGAGCGGCAGCGCGGGGGCAACCCUGGCGGCGAGCGGCGAACGGGUGAGUAACAUAUCGGAACGUACCCCGUCGUGGGGGAUAACACAGCGAAAGCUGUGCUAAUACCGCAUACGACCUGAGGGUGAAAGCGGGGGAUCGCAAGACCUCGCGCGAUGGGAGCGGCCGAUAUCGGAUUAGCUUGUUGGUGAGGUAAAGGCUCACCAAGGCGACGAUCCGUAGCUGGUCUGAGAGGACGAACCAGCCACACUGGAACUGAGACACGGUCCAGACUCCUACGGGAGGCAGCAGUGGGGAAUUUUGGACAAUGGGGGCAACCCUCGAUCCAGCCAUUCCGCGUGAGUGAAGAAGGCCU